AUUUAUUUAGUAUACUUAGUAUUCCUGACUUCCAAUCAGAGGGUCUGAUUAAUAUUCAGAAUAAAUA
RNAcentral lists this transfer RNA (67 nucleotides) under Ischnura pumilio. Its description in RNAcentral is "tRNA-Gly". Lineage: Eukaryota; Metazoa; Arthropoda; Insecta; Odonata; Coenagrionidae. The record is from RNAcentral.